This 497-nucleotide ribosomal RNA is filed under the name uncultured bacterium. Its description in RNAcentral is "partial 16S ribosomal RNA". It matches the Rfam family "Bacterial small subunit ribosomal RNA", at positions 28 to 507 of the family's 1533-position model. The record is from RNAcentral.
GAUGAACGCUGGCGGCGUGCCUAAUACAUGCAAGUCGAGCGAACAGACGAGGAGCUUGCUCCCCUGACGUUAGCGGCGGACGGGUGAGUAACACGUGGAUAACCUACCUAUAAGACUGGGAUAACUUCGGGAAACCGGAGCUACUACCAGAGAAUAUAUUGAACCGCAUGAUUCAAUAGUGAAAGACGGCUUUGCUGUUACUUAUAGAUGGAUCCGCGCCGCAUUAGCUAGUUGGUAAGGUAACGGCUUACCAAGGCAACGAUGCGUAGCCGACCUGAGAGGGUGAUCGGCCACACUGGAACUGAGACACGGUCCAGACUCCUACGGGAGGCAGCAGUAGGGAAUCUUGCACAAUGGGCGAAAGCUUGACGGAGCAACGCCGCGUGAGUGAUGAAGGUCUUCGGAUCGUAAAACUCUGUUAUUAGGAAAGAACAAAUGUAUAAGUAACUAUGCACGUCUUGACGGUACCUAAUCAGAAAGCCACGGCUAACUACGUG